AUGUGUAGUAGUAACGUCGCCGCCGCCAGAGGCCUCCUCCACCCCGCUCCUCCUCCCUCGCCGCCGUCACAGGGUGCGGCCAGGCAAAGCCUGGCCGGCGCCGGCGGCGGCGGGGCGUUCUCGUCUCCUCACGUGGUGGCCCCGAUGCGGGACGGGGCGGCCACGGCGGGAUGCGGCGCUGGCGGUGGGCGGAGCGGCGCGGCGGCUCUCCGGCGCAGUCUCGGCGGCGGCAGAGCGUGGGCCAUGUGCCGGGCGACGCGGUGGUGGGGAAGCAUGGCUGUGGGGGCGGCUCGCCCUCGUCUUCGAUCUGGAUCGGGCGGGGGAGGUGCCUGGCGGGCGGUGCGGGCUAGAGCUGGCGCGGACGCCGGGGGACGGCCCCGGUGCGGUGGUGCGGAGCGGCGCGCUCAGCCAUGGCGGCCUGCUGUGGAGGCGGGCAACAGUGGCGUGGCGGCGCAAGAUGUGGGCGCGUGCGAUGGCGUGCACGGCGGAUCUGGCCUGGCGGAGCUUGUGGGCUAUGCUGCUCCUUCGGCGGCGGCUUCGAGUGGUGCCAUGGGCCGGCUUCGUCAGAGGGGAUUGGAGGAUGCCGGGGUGGCGGCCCCGGGCCUGAUGCCGCCGGGUCUUGCCAGCGGUCUGGUCGUCGUGCGUGGAUCUUGUUCCUACUUCGAGGAUCCACGCCGAGUGGUGGUGGUUCUGCCGACGAAGCGGGAGGUGCUGCGGCUGGCAGGUCACUGA
This 732-nucleotide ribosomal RNA is filed under the name Triticum aestivum (bread wheat). RNAcentral's name for it is "partial small subunit ribosomal RNA". Lineage: Eukaryota; Viridiplantae; Streptophyta; Magnoliopsida; Poales; Poaceae. The record is from RNAcentral.